UGCUCGGUUACUCGGCGCAUUUUGAUAAUGCCGCCCGCACUGUUCACAGCGUGUGUGUGGAGCCUCUCUCCGCAUACUCGUGCGGCUGUGUGGGUCACCCCAAGUUGAGAGGUGAGCAGCUUAGUGAGGUUGCAAGGGAUGGCCCCAGUCACUCCGAGCGCAAGGCAUUCAUUGGUGGAGUAGUGGACCGUCCAUCCGGCCGCUUCCAGCAGUCGCUUGAGUUCUUGGUGUUGUUGAGAUUUUUCUUCCCGCUUGUCCAAAUGGCGGACGUCAGAGCUGUAACCGAUUUCAAGGAUAUAGAUGGGCAGCCGUGCUUUGUUCAGGGGCGGGCGGUACCCUUCUCUAUGUGUUUCAUGGGCGGGCAGGUUUGGGAUGAACAGAAUGUCGGGUCUGAGCCUUGUAAUAAGGGGUGAUGAUGUCCUCUCCGCAGCCAGCCAGGCGGGGGGGCGUUGUGCAGACGCAUAGUGUGGCAGGUCGGUUAGGGGGCCCGCGUCCAUGACCAUGAACCCGUUCCCGUAGGUCCCUUUGGAGAUGCAUUUGGCGAUACGCUGGACUGCCCAGUUGUGCCGAUUGAUGUACGCGCCUUUCAUUUUAGGGUGUGUGCAGCCUCCGAGGAUGUGCCCUCCGGAGUCAGGGGUGUGGCAGAGGGGGCAGUUGCCGUUCCCUCCCAGGCGGUAGCGCCGUUUAACCUGUGCGUUGAAGAGGUAGCCGUAGCGGGCGUAGAGUAUUUGCUUGACCAGCCAGGGGUGCCUGGUGGAGCUGGCGAGGGUGCGGUUGCUGAGGGUGGGGCACAUGUUGGCAGAUGCUUCCGCCCAUUGCUCCAGCACUGGUGUAUUAUUGGUAAAGCCUUGUUGUGCUUCGGGGGGCAAUGAGUUCAGGACUCCACGGUUUAGGUCGCUUAGGUAGAAAUUGUCAGAGUUGCGUUUGGGCCACCAGAUGUUGGACCACGGUUCGGCCGGCAAUAUGGCAGGCAGGAACGGCGGAAGGCAAGGGGCGGGCAUGUCUACCAGCCUGCACUGCACUCGUGUGCGUCUGUUCAAGGCAUGGGGAGCCUGCGGGGCAUGUGCGGGCAAGUUGUCAGGCCGGAAGGGCGGAAGGCAAGGGGCGGGCAUGUCUACCAGCCUGCACUGCACUCGUGUGCGUCUGUGCAAGGCAUGGGGAGCCUGCGGGGCUUGUGCGGGCAUUUCGGCAGGAACGGCGGAAGGCAAGGGGCGGGCAUGUCUACCAGCCUGCACUGCACUCGUGUGCGUCUGUGCAAGGCAUGGGGAGCCUGCGGGGUAUGUGCGGGCAAGUUGUCAGGCCGGAAGGGCGGAAGGCAAGGGGCGGGCAUGUCUACCAGCCUGCACUGCACUCGUGUGCGUCUGUGCAAGGCAUGGGGAGCCUGCGGGGCUUGUGCGGGCAUUUCGGCAGGAAGGGCGGAAGGCAAGGGGCGGGCAUGUCUACCAGCCUGCACUGCACUCGUGUGCGUCUGUGCAAGGCAUGGGGAGCCUGCGGGGUAUGUGCGGGCAAGUUGUCAGGCCGGAAGGGCGGAAGGCAAGGGGCGGGCAUGUCUACCAGCCUGCACUGCACUCGUGUGCGUCUGUGCAAGGCAUGGGGAGCCUGCGGGGCUUGUGCGGGCAUUUCGGCAGGAAGGGCGGAAGGCAAGGGGCGGGCAUGUCUACCAGCCUGCACUGCACUCGUGUGCGUCUGUUCAAGGCAUGGGGAGCCUGCGGGGCAUGUGCGGGCAAGUUGUCAGGCCGGAAGGGCGGAAGGCAAGGGGCGGGCAUGUCUACCAGCCUGCACUGCACUCGUGUGCGUCUGUGCAAGGCAUGGGGAGCCUGCGGGGCUUGUGCGGGCAUUUCGGCAGGAACGGCGGAAGGCAAGGGGCGGGCAUGUCUACCAGCCUGCACUGCACUCGUGUGCGUCUGUGCAAGGCAUGGGGAGCCUGCGGGGUAUGUGCGGGCAAGUUGUCAGGCCGGAAGGGCGGAAGGCAAGGGGCGGGCAUGUCUACCAGCCUGCACUGCACUCGUGUGCGUCUGUGCAAGGCAUGGGGAGCCUGCGGGGCUUGUGCGGGCAUUUCGGCAGGAAGGGCGGAAGGCAAGGGGCGGGCAUGUCUACCAGCCUGCACUGCACUCGUGUGCGUCUGUUCAAGGCAUGGGGAGCCUGCGGGGCUUGUGCGGGCAAGUUGUCAGGCCGGAAGGGCGGAAGGCAAGGGGCGGGCAUGUCUACCAGCCUGCACUGCACUCGUGUGCGUCUGUGCAAGCCAUGGGGAGCCUGCGGGGCUUGUGCGGGCAGGUUGGCAGGAACGGCGGAAGGCAAGGGGCGGGCAUGUCUACCAGCCUGCACUGCACUCGUGUGCGUCUGUAACGGCAUGGGGAGCCUGCGGGGCUUGUGCGGGCAUUUUGGCAGGCAGGAACGGCGGAAGGCAAGGGGCGGGCAUGUCUACCAGCCUGCACUGCACUCGUGUGCGUCUGUGCAAGGCAUGGGGAGCCUGCGGGGCUUGUGCGGGCAUUUUGGCAGGAACGGCGGAAGUCAAGGGGCGGGCAUGUCUACCAGCCUGCACUGCACUCGUGUGCGUCUGUGCAAAGCAUGGGGAGCCUGCGGGGCUUGUGCGGGCAAGUUGUCAGGCCGGAAGGGCGGAAGGCAAGGGGCGGGCAUGUCUACCAGCCUGCACUGCACUCGUGUGCGUCUGUUCAAGGCAUGGGGAGCCUGCGGGGCUUGUGCGGGCAGGUUGGCAGGAACGGCGGAAGGCAAGGGGCGGGCAUGUCUACCAGCCUGCACUGCACUCGUGUGCGUCUGUACAAGGCAUGGGGAGCCUGCGGGGCUUGUGCGGGCAUUUUGGCAGUAAGGGCGGAAGGCAAGGGGCGGGCAUGUCUACCAGCCUGCACUGCACUCGUGUGCGUCUGUGCAAGGCAUGGGGGGCCUGCGGGGCUUAUGCGGGCACUUUGGCAGGAAGGGCGGUAGGCAAGGGGCGGGCAUGUCUACCAGCCUGCACUGCACUCGUGUGCGUCUGUGCAAGGCAUGGGGAGCCUGCGGGGCUUGUGCGGGCAAUAUGGCAGGCAGGAACGGCGGAAGGCAAGGGGCGGGCAUGUCUACCAGCCUGCACUGCACUCGUGUGCGUCUGUUCAAGGCAUGGGGAGCCUGCGGGGCUUGUGCGGGCAUUUUGGCAGGAAGGGCGGAAGGCGAGGGGCGGGCAUGUCUACCAGCCUGCACUGGACUCGUGUGCGUCUGUUCAAGGCAUGGGGAGCCUGCGGGGCUUGUGCGGGCAGGUUGGCAGGAACAGCGGAAGGCAAGGGGCGGGCAUGUCUACCAGCCUGCACUGCACUCGUGUGCGUCUGUACAAGGCAUGGGGAGCCUGCGGGGCUUGUGCGGGCAAGUUGUCAGGCCGGAAGGGCGGAAGGCAAGGGGCGGGCAUGUCUACCAGCCUGCACUGCACUCGUGUGCGUCUGUUCAAGGCAUGGGGAGCCUGCAGGGCUUGUGCGGGCACUUUGGCAGGAACGGCGGAAGGCAAGGGGCGGGCAUGUCUACCAGCCUGCACUGCACUCGUGUGCGUCUGUGCAAGGCAUGGGGGGCCUGCGGGGCUUAUGCGGGCACUUUGGCAGGAAGGGCGGUAGGCAAGGGGCGGGCAUGUCUACCAGCCUGCACUGCACUCGUGUGCGUCUGUGCAAGGCAUGGGGAGCCUGCGGGGCUUGUGCGGGCGAUUUGGCAGGUAGGGCGGUAGGCAAGGGGCGGGCAUGUCUACCAGCCUGCACUGCACUCGUGUGCGUCUGUGCAAGGCAUGGGGAGCCUGCGGGGAAUAAUAAUAAUUCAAACGCCAGCCCAUGGGGCCUGGCGUGGAUUAUCGGGGUAAGGUGGCUAGGGCGAGGAGGCCCAUCCCCCUCGCGCUGCCACCUCACCACGCACUCCGAGGAGGUGUGGGGGAGCCGUGGCUUACCCGCCUCUCGGUUUGAGUUCCUGCUCGGUUACUCGGCGCAUUUUGAUAAUGCCGCCCGCACUGUUCACAGCGUGUGUGUGGAGCCUCUCUCCGCAUACUCGUGCGGCUGUGUGGGUCACCCCAAGUUGAGAGGUGAGCAGCUUAGUGAGGUUGCAAGGGAUGGCCCCAGUCACUCCGAGCGCAAGGCAUUCAUUGGUGGAGUAGUGGACCGUCCAUCCGGCCGCUUCCAGCAGUCGCUUGAGUUCUUGGUGUUGUUGAGAUUUUUCUUCCCGCUUGUCCAAAUGGCGGACGUCAGAGCUGUAACCGAUUUCAAGGAUAUAGAUGGGCAGCCGUGCUUUGUUCAGGGGCGGGCGGUACCCUUCUCUAUGUGUUUCAUGGGCGGGCAGGUUUGGGAUGAACAGAAUGUCGGGUCUGAGCCUUGUAAUAAGGGGUGAUGAUGUCCUCUCCGCAGCCAGCCAGGCGGGGGGGCGUUGUGCAGACGCAUAGUGUGGCAGGUCGGUUAGGGGGCCCGCGUCCAUGACCAUGAACCCGUUCCCGUAGGUCCCUUUGGAGAUGCAUUUGGCGAUACGCUGGACUGCCCAGUUGUGC
RNAcentral lists this long non-coding RNA (4501 nucleotides) under Chlamydomonas reinhardtii. Its description in RNAcentral is "long non-coding RNA (CREI_LNC000227)". The record is from RNAcentral. Lineage: Eukaryota; Viridiplantae; Chlorophyta; Chlorophyceae; Chlamydomonadales; Chlamydomonadaceae.